GAUGAACGCUGGCGGCGUGCCUAAUACAUGCAAGUCGAGCGAACAGACGAGGAGCUUGCUCCACUGACGUUAGCGGCGGACGGGUGAGUAACACGUGGAUAACCUACCUAUAAGACUGGGAUAACUUCGGGAAACCGGAGCUAAUACCGGAUAAUAUAUUGAACCGCAUGGUUCAAUAGUGAAAGACGGUUUUGCUGCCACUUAUAGAUGGAUCCGCGCCGCAUUAGCUAGUUGGUAAGGUAACGGCUUACCAAGGCAACGAUGCGUAGCCGACCUGGGAGGGUGAACGGCCACACGGGAACUGAGACACGGUCCAGACUCCUACGGGAGGCAGCAGUAGGGAAUCUUCCGCGAUGGGCGAAAGCCUGACGGAGCAACGCCGCGUGAGUGAUGAAGGUCUUCGGAUCGUAAAACUCUGUUAUUAGGGAAGAACAAAUGUGUAAGUAACUAUGCACGUCUUGACGGUACCUAAUCAGAAAGCCACGGCUAACUACGUG
Molecule: ribosomal RNA, 497 nt
Filed under: uncultured bacterium
Lineage: Bacteria
Description: partial 16S ribosomal RNA
Rfam family: Bacterial small subunit ribosomal RNA
Source: RNAcentral